RNAcentral lists this ribosomal RNA (710 nucleotides) under uncultured Lachnospiraceae bacterium. RNAcentral's name for it is "bacterial SSU rRNA". It matches the Rfam family "Bacterial small subunit ribosomal RNA", at positions 28 to 735 of the family's 1533-position model. Lineage: Bacteria; Bacillati; Bacillota; Clostridia; Lachnospirales; Lachnospiraceae. The record is from RNAcentral.
GACGAACGCUGGCGGCGCGCCUAACACAUGCAAGUCGAACGGAGCUGUUUUCUCUGAAGUUUUCGGAUGGAAGAGAGUUCAGCUUAGUGGCGAACGGGUGAGUAACACGUGAGCAACCUGCCUUUCAGUGGGGGACAACAUUUGGAAACGAAUGCUAAUACCGCAUAAGACCACAGUGUCGCAUGGCACAGGGGUCAAAGGAUUUAUCCGCUGAAAGAUGGGCUCGCGUCCGAUUAGCUAGAUGGUGAGGUAACGGCCCACCAUGGCGACGAUCGGUAGCCGGACUGAGAGGUUGAACGGCCACAUUGGGACUGAGACACGGCCCAGACUCCUACGGGAGGCAGCAGUGGGGAAUAUUGCACAAUGGGGGAAACCCUGAUGCAGCGACGCCGCGUGGAGGAAGAAGGUCUUCGGAUUGUAAACUCCUGUCCCAGGGGACGAUAAUGACGGUACCCUGGGAGGAAGCACCGGCUAACUACGUGCCAGCAGCCGCGGUAAAACGUAGGGUGCAAGCGUUGUCCGGAAUUACUGGGUGUAAAGGGAGCGCAGGCGGAUUGGCAAGUUGGGAGUGAAAUCUAUGGGCUCAACCCAUAAAUUGCUUUCAAAACUGUCAGUCUUGAGUGGUGUAGAGGUAGGCGGAAUUCCCGGUGUAGCGGUGGAAUGCGUAGAUAUCGGGAGGAACACCAGUGGCGAAGGCGGCCUACUGGGCA